UUGGAGGGCAAGUCUGGUGCCAGCAGCCGCGGUAAUUCCAGCUCCAAUAGCGUAUAUUAAAGUUGUUGCAGUUAAAAAGCUCGUAGUUGAAUUUCGGGAUCAAUAUAUCGGUCAUGCUUAGGUAUGUACUGGUAUUAUUGAUUUCUCCCUUCUGAAGAACCAUGAUGUCAUUUAUUUGAUGUCGUGGGGAAUCAGGACUGUUACUUUGAAAAAAUUAGAGUGUUUAAAGCAGGCUUUCGCUUGAAUACAUUAGCAUGGAAUAAUGAAAUAGGACGUUUGAUUCUAUUUUGUUGGUUUCUAGGAUCGACGUAAUGAUUAAUAGGGAUAGUUGGGGGCAUUAGUAUUCAAUUGUCAGAGGUGAAAUUCUUGGAUUUAUUGAAGACUAACUACUGCGAAAGCAUUUGCCAAGGAUGUUUUCAUUAAUCAAGAACGAAAGUUAGGGGAUCGAAGACGAUCAGAUACCGUCGUAGUCUUAACCAUAAACUAUGCCGACUAGGGAUCGGAUGAUGUUAAUUUUUUAAUGACUCAUUCGGCGCCUUACGGGAAAC
Molecule: ribosomal RNA, 548 nt
Filed under: uncultured Glomus
Lineage: Eukaryota; Fungi; Glomeromycota; Glomeromycetes; Glomerales; Glomeraceae
Description: SSU rRNA
Rfam family: Eukaryotic small subunit ribosomal RNA
Source: RNAcentral